Molecule: long non-coding RNA, 555 nt
Organism: Wasmannia auropunctata (little fire ant)
Lineage: Eukaryota; Metazoa; Arthropoda; Insecta; Hymenoptera; Formicidae
Exons: 3
Source: RefSeq, a predicted model, not a curated record
GCGCGUGAGAGAGCGUGGCAUUAAGAAAAAAAUUACAGCCAAAUGUAGAGGUAACACGCGUAAUAGCAGUACAUUUGGCAAAUGCAUUGCCUACUCCACGUACUCCAGCUCGAUUUGCAUAAGAGACGUAUGUGUAUUUGCCUUGCGGAAUUGUCGUCGGUCGAUUUAAUAUUUCACACCGGAGAAAAGUGUAUAUUCUCGGUCCCCCAGUUUAUUUAUUUCGCCUUGGCUUAUCGUCCCGACGACAUUCGAGAUUUUUCGUCGCUCUCGGCGAAACAGAAUUUCUCACGACCGAUGUAUUUAUUUGAUUUAAUAUCCGAGAAAGCAGAGUUGCGAAUUAGAGCGAACACAAACGUCAUAUGAAGACGACAAAUAUUAUUUUCAGUGUUAACGAACCCUCCGCGUGUCUCUCCGCUUUUGUUAUAAAUUAACUGAGAUCCCUAAGGAUCUCCAAACUGAAGGAGAUCCCAUCUGUGGAUUCCACUCACCCUUUCCAUUCGUUUCGUCGGUGUCAGAUCCUUCCGGCGACCAAUAACGAGGAUUUCGUGCAAGGAG